UGGACUAGUAACCAGCAGGUAGCCUAGUGGUUAGAGCGUUGGACUAGUAACCAGCAGGUAGCCUAGUGGUUAGAGCGUUGGACUAGUAACCAGCAGGUAGCCUAGUGGUUAGAGCGUUGGACUAGUAACCAGCAGGUAGCCUAGUGGUUAGAGCGUUGGACUAGUAACCAGCAGGUAGCCUAGUGGUUAGAGCGUUGGACUAGUAACCAGCAGGUAGCCUAGUGGUUAGAGCGUUGGACUAGUAACCAGCAGGUAGCCUAGUGGUUAGAGCGUUGGACUAGUAACCAGCAGGUAGCCUAGUGGUUAGAGCGUUGGACUAGUAACCAGCAGGUAGCCUAGUGGUUAGAGCGUUGGACUAGUAACCAGCAGGUAGCCUAGUGGUUAGAGCGUUGGGCCGGUAACCAGCAGGUAGCCUAAUGGUUAGAGCAUUGGACUAGUAACCGGAAGGUUGCAAGUUCAAACCCCCGAGCUGACAAGGUACAAAUCUG
Long non-coding RNA from Oncorhynchus tshawytscha (Chinook salmon), 488 nucleotides. The record is from Ensembl. Lineage: Eukaryota; Metazoa; Chordata; Actinopteri; Salmoniformes; Salmonidae.